UACGGAGGAUGCAAGCGUUAUCCGGAAUGAUUGGGCGUAAAGCGUCCGCAGGUGGCAAUGUAAGUCUGCUGUUAAAGAGUCUAGCCCAACUAGAUAAAAGCAGUGGAAACUACAUAGCUAGAGUACGUUCGGGGCAGAGGGAAUUCCUGGUGUAGCGGUGAAAUGCGUAGAGAUCAGGAAGAACACCGGUGGCGAAAGCGCUCUGCUGGACCUUAACUGACACUGAGGGACGAAAGCUAGGGGAGCGAAUGGG
RNAcentral lists this ribosomal RNA (253 nucleotides) under uncultured bacterium. RNAcentral describes it as "partial 16S ribosomal RNA". It matches the Rfam family "Bacterial small subunit ribosomal RNA", at positions 524 to 776 of the family's 1533-position model. The record is from RNAcentral.